CCUACGGGUGGCAGCAGUGAGGAAUAUUGGUCAAUGGACGAGAGUCUGAACCAGCCAAGUAGCGUGAAGGAUGACUGCCCUAUGGGUUGUAAACUUCUUUUAUAAAGGAAUAAAACGAGGCACGUGUGCCUUUUUGUAUGUACUUUAUGAAUAAGGAUCGGCUAACUCCGUGCCAGCAGCCGCGGUAAUACGGAGGAUCCGAGCGUUAUCCGGAUUUAUUGGGUUUAAAGGGAGCGUAGAUGGGUUGUUAAGUCAGUUGUGAAAGUUUGCGGCUCAACCGUAAAAUUGCAAUUGAUACUGGCAGUCUUGAGUACAGUUGAGGUAGGCGGAAUUCGUGGUGUAGCGGUGAAAUGCUUAGAUAUCACGAAGAACCCCGAUUGCGAAGGCAGCUUACUGAACUGUGACUGACAUUGAGGCUCGAAAGUGUGGGUAUCAAACAGGAUUAGAUACCCCUGUAGUC
Molecule: ribosomal RNA, 460 nt
Filed under: uncultured bacterium
Lineage: Bacteria
Description: partial 16S ribosomal RNA
Rfam family: Bacterial small subunit ribosomal RNA
Source: RNAcentral